UUGACAGCCCUAGAGACUGAUGUCCUAAUUAUCCCCAGAACAGGUGCACAUGGGCAUUUUCCUGCCAAUGUGACUCUACCUAGAGCUGGAGAGCUCAAAUCUCAGAUUAGAUAAUAGUUUAGUGUAAAGCCUUCUCAAACUGCAGACAUU
RNAcentral lists this small RNA (150 nucleotides) under Chrysemys picta bellii (western painted turtle). Its description in RNAcentral is "TUC338 (ENSCPBG00000012635.1)". Lineage: Eukaryota; Metazoa; Chordata; Testudines; Emydidae. The record is from RNAcentral.